Molecule: ribosomal RNA, 864 nt
Filed under: uncultured Acidobacteriota bacterium
Lineage: Bacteria; Pseudomonadati; Acidobacteriota
Description: bacterial SSU rRNA
Rfam family: Bacterial small subunit ribosomal RNA
Source: RNAcentral
CAAGUCGAGUGCGCGUUUCCGUAGCAAUACGGAAAUGGCGCACGGCGCACGGGUGCGUAACACGUGGGUAAUCUGCCCUUCGAUGGGGAAUAACUCGCCGAAAGGCGAGCUAAUUCCGCAUAACAUUCCUUGGACUCCGGUCCGGGGAUUCAAAGGCGUGAGUCGUCGGAGGUGGAGCCCGCGCACGAUUAGCUAGUUGGUGAGGUAAUGGCUCACCAAGGCUAUGAUCGUUAGCUGGUCUGAGAGGAUGGCCAGCCACACUGGAACUGAGACACGGUCCAGACUCCUACGGGAGGCAGCAGUGGGGAAUCUUGCACAAUGGGCGAAAGCCUGAUGCAGCGACGCCGCGUGGGGGAUGAAGCUUCUCGGAGUGUAAACCCCUUUCGACCGGGACGAAUGCCCGCAAGGGACUGACGGUACCGGUAUAAGAAGCCCCGGCUAACUACGUGCCAGCAGCCGCGGUAAGACGUAGGGGGCCAGCGUUGCUCGGAAUUACUGGGUGUAAAGGGUUCGUAGGCGGUGUAGCAAGUCGGGAGUGAAAUCUCUGGGCUCAACCCAGGGGCUGCUUCCGAAACUGCUGUGCUAGAGUGUGGGAGAGGCGCGUGGAAUUGCAGGUGUAGCGGUGAAAUGCGUAGAUAUCUGCAGGAACACCCGUGGCGAAAGCGGCGCGCUGGACCACUACUGACGCUGAGGAACGAAAGCUAGGGGAGCAAACAGGAUUAGAUACCCUGGUAGUCCUAGCCCUAAACGAUCAGGACUUGGGGUGCCACCCGUUUCGGGUGUCGUCCCGGAGCUAACGCGUUAAGUCCUGCACCUGGGGAGUACGGUCGCAAGACUGAAACUCAAAGGAAUUGACGGGGGCCC